UACGAAGGGGGCUAGCGUUGCUCGGAAUGACUGGGCGUAAAGGGCGCGUAGGCGGAUGGCAUAGUCAGAUGUGAAAUUCCCGGGCUUAACCUGGGGACUGCAUUUGAUACGUGUCGUCUUGAGUUCGGAAGAGGGUCGUGGAAUUCCCAGUGUAGAGGUGAAAUGCGUAGAUAUCGGAAGGAACACCUGUGGCGAAAGCGGCUCACUGGACCAUUACUGACGCUGAGGCACGA
This 233-nucleotide ribosomal RNA is filed under the name uncultured bacterium. RNAcentral's name for it is "partial 16S ribosomal RNA". It matches the Rfam family "Bacterial small subunit ribosomal RNA", at positions 524 to 756 of the family's 1533-position model. The record is from RNAcentral.